GGGAAUCUACCUUUUGCUACGGAAUAGCUCCGGGAAACUGGAAUUAAUACCGUAUGUGCCCUUAGGGGGAAAGAUUUAUCGGCAAGAGAUGAGCCCGCGUUGGAUUAGCUAGUUGGUGGGGUAAAGGCCUACCAAGGCGACGAUCCAUAGCUGGUCUGAGAGGAUGAUCAGCCACAUUGGGACUGAGACACGGCCCAAACUCCUACGGGAGGCAGCAGUGGGGAAUAUUGGACAAUGGGCGCAAGCCUGAUCCAGCCAUGCCGCGUGAGUGAUGAAGGCCUUAGGGUUGUAAAGCUCUUUCACCGGAGAAGAUAAUGACGGUAUCCGGAGAAGAAGCCCCGGCUAACUUCGUGCCAGCAGCCGCGGUAAUACGAAGGGGGCUAGCGUUGUUCGGAAUGACUGGGCGUAAAGCGCACGUAGGCGGACAUUUAAGUCAGGGGUGAAAUCCCGGGGCUCAACCUCGGAACUGCCUUUGAUACUGGGUGUCUGGAGUGCGGAAGAGGUGAGUGGAAUUCCGAGU
RNAcentral lists this ribosomal RNA (520 nucleotides) under uncultured bacterium. Its description in RNAcentral is "bacterial SSU rRNA". It matches the Rfam family "Bacterial small subunit ribosomal RNA", at positions 120 to 674 of the family's 1533-position model. The record is from RNAcentral.